RNAcentral lists this ribosomal RNA (497 nucleotides) under uncultured bacterium. RNAcentral describes it as "partial 16S ribosomal RNA". It matches the Rfam family "Bacterial small subunit ribosomal RNA", at positions 28 to 507 of the family's 1533-position model. The record is from RNAcentral.
GACGAACGCUGGCGGCGUGCCUAAUACAUGCAAGUCGAGCGAACGGACGCGGAGCUUGCUGUUUUGAUGAUUGCGGCGGGCGGGUGUGAAACACGUGUAAAACCCCCUUAUCAUAGGGGGAUAACUUCGGGAAACCGGCGAUAAUACCGGAUAAUAUCUUGAUCCGUGUGGUUCAAAAGUGAAAGUCGGUCUUUCUGUCACUUAUAGAGGGUUACGCGCUGCAUUGGCUAGUUGGUACGGUAAAGGGUUAUCAAGGGAACGAUGCAUAGCCGAGCUGAGGGGGGGAUCGGCCACACGGGAACUGAGACACGGUCCAGACUCCUACGGGAGGCACCAGUAGCGAAUCUUCCGCAAUGGGCGAAAGCCUGACGGAGCAACGCCGCGUGAGUGAUGAAGGUCUUCGGUUCGUAAAGCUCUGUUAUUAGGGAAGAACAUAUGUGUAAUUAACUGAGCAGAUAGUGACGGUACCUAAUCAGAAAGCCACGGCUAACUACGUG